Molecule: long non-coding RNA, 1265 nt
Filed under: Fukomys damarensis (Damara mole-rat)
Lineage: Eukaryota; Metazoa; Chordata; Mammalia; Rodentia; Bathyergidae
Description: lncRNA (ENSFDAG00000028584.1)
Source: RNAcentral
UGCUUGCAAUGUCAGUUUAUUUACUUUUUUUUUUUUUUUAGUGCUGAAGAUUGAGCCCAGGGUUUGUGUGUGAGAGGAAUAUCCUCUACACGCAGCCACAUUCCCACCCUGAAGGUAGGUUGUGUCGAAAUGGAAGGCAGAGAGGCCUCUCCCAGGAGAAGUUCUUCAGCUGUGUCCACUGGCGAUGUCACAGCUUGACUCAGAAGUCGCUGGAGGAAACAUAGCCCUGUCCAACACUGAAAACCACACAGCAUCUACCUCAAAGAUGGGAGAGGCAGCAGGACCAAGACCCAGGAAGAUAUGAAGACCCCUGGCCUUGACAUCUGACAUUCAGAAACUGAGGUUGAUUGAAUGGUCAGCGUUUGGAUUUCUUUCUAUUUAUAUUGGUACAACUAGUGGAAGAUUGGAGACAAGUACCUGAGAUAUUAGUCUGAAAAACAUGGAAAAGAGAGAGCCAGAAGCCAUCUGUCUACCAAGAGAGAGGAGGAAAUCAGUACUGCCCAGGAAUCCUAUGAAAAGAACCCCUAGAAGAGAGGCUCAGAGAACAAAGUAGAUCAGCUCAUGUUUCCAGGGACUGGGGAUCUGGAGUGAUGGUGAGUGUCACCUUGAGUUGUUGAAAGAUACAGUUUGCAACUGCAAAGAGAUGUGGUCUUUCCAGAUAAGCAGGUAGAAGACGACUUGGGGGUGCAGAGAGAGGACAUUAAGGGCUAUACAAAGAGGAUGUGGUAUAAUUUGGAUCUGGAAUGUCCCACUAAACGUCUGUGUGUUAAAGGCUUGGCCUCUGUACCCUGAUGCUAUUGGGAGGUGAGUAACUUUAAGAGGUGGGGCCUAGUGGGAGGUUUUUAGGUCAGUGAUAGUUUGCCCUAGAAAAGGGCUGUGGGAUACUGGACUCUCCCUCUUUAUCUCCACCCUCCAAAGAUAUAUGCUACAUGAUCCUGACCAUGAAGAGAUGCCUUAUCAUAAACCUAAAGGCAAUAGAUCUGCCUAACCAUGAAUUGCAGCUUCCAAAACAGUAAGCCAAACCUUUUUUUCCUUAUAAGUUCAUUAUCUCAGGUGUUUUGUUAUAGUAAAGGUAAGCUAACACAGGAGAUAAGCUAACAUACUCUCUAAAAGCCACAUAUUUGGAUAUUCAACACUAUAUACAGUCAACAUUCCCUAUCUUCAGGUUCUGUACCUAUAUUCAACAAACUACAGAAGGAAAAUAAAGUUAUGUCUGCACUGAACAUAUAUAGACAUUUCUCCUAUAACUCUCCUCUAAAUAAUAC